CGAACGGCUAUUUUCCUUGCCUACCUCCUCGUCGGCGUCGCUCCGAUUUCUAGGAUUCGAGUUCGAGUUGCCGGCGAUCUCCUCGUUUCUUUUCCUCUACUUGGUGGUCUUCGCAACCUUUCUGUUGGUGGAUCAGUGGAGGAUAGGUAGGUGUGAUGAUGAGGAGAUCGAAGUUGGAGCCGACCUAUUAUCCUUUUACCCGCAAGAGGUUCCUGCACUUCCUCCUCCUUCUCGGGCUGCUGUACUUCUCUUUCCUCCUCCUAUGUGAGUUCCCUUUCGUCUCCCGCCGCUUCACGCCACUGGCCGCCGCUGGCAGCCUCCGCGGGGGCGACGCGGUGGCCCGCCCAAUCUCCCUACACAGCAAGGAGGAGACCCAAGAGACGCAUGCCCCAGUUCGUCCCUUUUUAUUCCCUUAUCGGCAGGUGGCUUCCGCCUCCGCUCCUCUCCCGCAUCGCUCGCGGCCGAGCCGGCGAUCGCUGGUUGUCUCCGGUUUGGCGCAGCUGGAGCUUAACUCAAGAAGUAAUGGAUCUUUUUCGGAGCUCCAUAAAUCGGCGUGGGACGCGUGGGAGGUAGGAAGGAGGGUUUUUGAAGACCUGAAGGCUUCUCCGGCGCCGCCGGCGGAGUCUCCAGCGCAGGAGAUUCGGGCCGAAGAGAACUGCCCGAACUCGAUCAUGAUAUCUGGUGCGGAGCUCCAGGAGCGAGGGAGAUUGAUGGUGCUUCCUUGCGGGCUGACGUUGGGGUCCCAUAUCACCCUGGUGGCGAGGCCGCGAAGGGCACACCCCGACCAUGACCCAAAGAUAACGGAUUUGAAAGACUGGGAGCAGGACACGAUGGUUUCUCAGUUCAUGAUGGAGCUAAAGGGGCUUAAAUAUGCGGAUGGCGAAGAUCCUCCAAGGAUUCUCCACUUUAACCCCAGGUUAAAGGGUGAUUGGAGCGGUAAGCCAGUGAUUGAGCUGAAUUCCUGCUACCGCAUGCAGUGGGGUUCCGCUCAGCGGUGCGAGGGCUGGAAGUCCAAGUCUAGUGAAGAGACAGUUGAUGGUCUGGUUAAGUGUGAAGGGUGGACUCGGGAUGAAGAUAGCCCCGUGGAAGAACCAAAGAAGUCAUGGUGGUUCAAGAGAUUAAUUGGUCGGGUGAAAGUCUCGUUUGAUUGGCCAUAUCCAUUUGUGGAGGACAAAUUGUUUGUUUUGACAUUAACUGCUGGUUUAGAGGGUUAUCAUAUUAAUGUUGGCGGGAGGCAUGUAACAUCCUUUCCAUACCGCACUAGUUUCACUCUUGAAGAUGCCACCGGCCUGUCAAUGAAUGGAGAUCUUGACAUUGAGUCCAUAUAUGCUGCUUCAUUGCCUGCUAAACAUCCUAGUUUUGCCCUGAAAAGGGAACUGGAGAUGUCUGCUCAGUGGCAAGCUCCUCCACUUGCUGAUGAACCUGUAGAUCUUUUCAUUGGCAUCCUUUCGGCAGGAAACCACUUUGCAGAACGUAUGGCGGUCAGAAAAUCAUGGAUGUCUGCAUUAACUAGAUCAUCUAAUGUGGUGGCGAGGUUCUUUGUUGCGCUGAAUGGAAGAAAGGAGGUGAACAUGCAAUUAAAAGAGGAGGCAGAAUUCUUUGGAGAUAUUGUUAUAGUACCUUACAUGGAUAGUUAUGAUCUAGUUGUUUUGAAGACUGUUGCUAUCUGUGAAUAUGGAGUUCGAACGGUGUCUGCUAAACAUAUAAUGAAGUGUGACGAUGACACAUUUGUGAGGGUUGACUCAGUACUCAAGGAAGUGAAGAAAAUCCCAUCUGUUAGAAGUCUUUACAUAGGGAACAUUAAUUAUUACCACAAACCUCUGCGCUCUGGGAAAUGGGCUGUGACAUAUGAGGAAUGGCCAGAGGAGAACUACCCACAUUAUGCUAAUGGUCCAGGCUAUGUUAUAUCUUCUGAUAUUGCAAAUUAUGUUGUGUCUGAGAUUGAGAAGCGCACACUGAGAUUAUUCAAGAUGGAAGACGUGAGCAUGGGCAUGUGGGUGGAGAAGUUCAACAAUUCUAAGCCAGUGGAGUACGUCCACAACCUCAAAUUCUGCCAGUUCGGUUGCAUUGAAGAUUACUACACCGCUCAUUACCAGUCUCCCAGGCAAAUGCUGUGCAUGUGGGAGAAAUUGCAGGCAGGGAACCCUCAAUGUUGCGACAUGAGAUGAUGAUAUCUCUGCGAAUAUCCAUCCUUUACCAAUUUUGCAAGUUGUAACAGGGCAAGCUCCAUUCUCGAGCUCCAUAUAGGUCGAUGUAUGAUCUAGUAGCCUCAAAGCCACUGACAAGGUGUCCACGAAGCGCCCACUCCCUUCGUAGUCAAACACUCACUGCCCGUCGAGUAGAAGAGCAAAGGGAGAGGAAAGAUCGGAAUCGCAGCAAUGGAGGGCGACGAAGGCGAGCAGU
RNA transcript from Zingiber officinale, 2403 nucleotides. It is a transcript of the gene named hydroxyproline O-galactosyltransferase GALT6-like, with no coding region annotated. The record is from RefSeq and is a predicted model, not a curated record. Lineage: Eukaryota; Viridiplantae; Streptophyta; Magnoliopsida; Zingiberales; Zingiberaceae. The transcript is spliced from 8 exons.